GAAAUUGAGUUAUAAUGAACUUUCAACUCUUCCUCCCAAUCUCUUUGUCCGCAAUAGGAAUCUUCAAUUCCUGAUGUUGAAUUCUAAUAGACUUUCAGUUCUACCUCCCAAUCUCUUUGCCCGCAAUAGCAAUCUUAAAGAGCUAAAUCUGAGGCGAAAUAAUCUACACCUGGAUCAUCGACUAUGCAGCUUAUUGAAUGUCAGAGACUUCAUUGAAAAACUAAGAAGGAAAUACGAAAUAAGCGAACAUCACCCUUAUCACGGACUAGAAGUGGACUGGACA
Molecule: long non-coding RNA, 283 nt
Organism: Sycon ciliatum
Lineage: Eukaryota; Metazoa; Porifera; Calcarea; Leucosolenida; Sycettidae
Exons: 3
Source: RefSeq, a predicted model, not a curated record